GACGAACGCUGGCGGCGUGCUUAACACAUGCAAGUCGAACGGAAAGGCCCUGCUUUUGUGGGGUGCUCGAGUGGCGAACGGGUGAGUAACACGUGAGUAACCUGCCCUUGACUUUGGGAUAACUUCAGGAAACUGGGGUUAAUACCGGAUAGGAGCUCCUGCUGCAUGGUGGGGGUUGGAAAGUUUCGGCGGUUGGGGAUGGACUGGCGGCUUAUCAGCUUGUUGGUGGGUUAGUGGCUUACCAAGUCUUUGACGGGUAGCCGGCCUGAGAGGGUGACCGGCCACAUUGGGACUGAGAUACGGCCCGGACUCCUACGGGGGGCAGCAGUGGGGAAUAUUGCACAAUGGGCGGAGGCCUGAUGCAGCAACGCCGCGUGCGGGAUGACGGCCUUCGGGUUGUAAACCGCUUUCGCCUGUGACGAAGCGUGAGUGACGGUAAUGGGUAAAGAAGCACCGGCUAACUACGUG
RNAcentral lists this ribosomal RNA (468 nucleotides) under uncultured bacterium. RNAcentral describes it as "partial 16S ribosomal RNA". It matches the Rfam family "Bacterial small subunit ribosomal RNA", at positions 28 to 507 of the family's 1533-position model. The record is from RNAcentral.